Molecule: long non-coding RNA, 1198 nt
Filed under: Felis catus (domestic cat)
Lineage: Eukaryota; Metazoa; Chordata; Mammalia; Carnivora; Felidae
Description: lncRNA (ENSFCAG00000041824.2)
Source: RNAcentral
CCCAUUCUAAAAUGUCAAGCGUUUCGGUUUUGAGAAAAAAAGAAAGCUGAAGAAAGCAUGACUCAUGACAGGGCUGACAAACAACUAUCCGGAGGUAUGCUAGUGAGUCACGCUGUGGAGAUCUGCCUUUAUGUUGUGGAAAGGGCCCGGGAUGGAAGAAGCAUCAUGGGACCAGCCAGUAAAAUUCCACUACGCUCUGAAGCCCAUUUGGAGGUGAUUUCAAAACACUGGGCUUUUUCCGGCCCCGACCUGAUGGGAGGCUCUGGGUACCCUCAGGGUGCACGCGUGCAGACGCAGAGAACCCCCGGGGACUUGUACCUGGCAAGCUAAGGGAUUUUACUGGAUUGUGAGUCGGUGGGAGCUCCUGGGCGCUGUCCUGCUUUGGCACUGGUCUCUCCAGAGUGGAGCCUGAAAACGUGAUGCUGUUUCCCGGCGAGGCAAGUCUGACAUCACAUCAUGACUCACCGCUCGAAACGUGCCAUUUAAUCUCUUGUGGAUCAAAUUUUGUGAAUUUGGAAAGUGGCUGGAUAACUUUUCUUCGUGUCUCUCCUUUUUUUUUUUUCUGUUCCCGGUUGUGGUGAAAUACACGCAACAUGAACUUCAUUGCUGUGAGCGUUUCAAAGUGGAUAAUUCAGGGGCAUGAAGUACAGGCUGAACGUGGACUUAAUUUUUCAGAAUUUGUUAUCACCCCUAACAGAAGUGCGACACCCAUCAAGCAGCAGUCGCUCACCACUGCUAUCACCCACAGCCUCGGGCCACCACAGAUCUUUCUGUCUCUAUGGAUUUGUGGGUUCUGAACAUUACACAUAAAUGGAAUCCUACCCCAUGUGGCUUCUUCCACUUUGCCUAAUGAUUUCAAGGUUCGCUCAUAUCAUAUCGCCUAUCAGUCCUUCCCUCCUCUUUAUGGCCAAACAAUAUUCCAUUGUGUGGAUACGCCACAUUGUAUUUAUCUAUUCACUUGUUGAUAGACCUGUGGGUUCUUUCCACCUUUUGGCUGUUGUGAACGGUGCUUCCGUGAACAAUCCCGUAUAAAUUUUUGUUCAAACACCUGCUUUCGUUUCUUUUGGGUAUAAACCCCGUGGUGGAAUUGCCGGGUUCAACUCUGGGUCGAACUUGAUGAACUGCCAAACCAUUUUCCACAGCCGCUGCACCUGUGUGCAGCCCCAGCAGCAGUGUGUGAGGCUUUCGCUUUCUCCCG